CGAGCAGCUGGGCGCAGGCGCUGGAGCGGGGGCCUCAGCUUCUGCCCCGGCUGCGGCGGGAGGAGGCGGUGCCUGCGGGAGCGAAGGGGGCGGGUCAGGGGCUGCGGGCUUUCUCCCGCUGCAUUAUCCCUGGCCCACCGCCUCCCUCUGCAGGUGCGGCGGCUGGUUCGUAUCGCCUACCCACCCGCCCCCGCUCCCGUUUUUGUGUCUCUCGAUGUCUUUCUAUCCCCUUUCUCUGAGUAUUUAUUUGUCCCCUCGUCUCUGCCCUCGCCCCGCUGAGACUCUGGACCCUCUUUUCUAAGUCUCUACCCUCCCUCCGGGUCUCUGUCCCAUUGUUCUCUGAAUCUGUUCCCCUCCUUCUGAGUCUUUACUCCCUUCUCCCUAAGGUUCAGUCUCCUCUCCCCCAACUGUGUCUCCGUCCCCCCACCCCCAGUCUCUUUCUCCUGGUCUCUGUAGCUUAUUCUCGGGGAUUUGCCUCUCUCUCUCUGGGCCUCUGCCCCCUCCCGGUCUCUGUCUCUUCUCUUUGUGUCUCUGUCCUCCACUCCCUCUCUGGGGCGCUGUCCUCCUUGCCCUAGGCCCUUGUCUUCCUCUCCCUGGGUCUCUGUGCCCUCCAGGUCUCUGUCCCUCUUCUUUGUGUCUCUGUCCUCCACUCCCCUCUCCCAGCCUGUACCCCCCACCCCCCGUCUCUAUCCAUUCAUCUGCAUCUCUGUCCCCCUUGCUCUUGUUCUCUGACGACCUCUCUGUCAGUAUCUUUUUCCUCUCCUCCGUCUCUCUCCCUCCUCUGUAAGUGCCUUUUCUCUUUCUCUCCUUUUUCUCUCUGUCACCCUAUGCGGGUCUCUAUCCCCACUCCCCGUGCCUCUUUCAUCCCCUUAUGAGGCUCUCUCUCCACUUCUCUGGGACUUUGUCCCGCUGUCCUUUGGUCUCUGUCCCUCCAUCACCCCCUCUAACCCCCAUCCUGGCCAGGACCCGAGGCUGCGUCACUGCGGAGAGAGUUGCAGAAGUGGAGCCUGUCCUGCAGACCAAGGAGGUAUUUCCUUCACCCCCCCCCCCCCCCAGACCUUGGGCGGUACUCAAGACCCCGAUGGGGCCCAGGAAGGCAGAGAAAAGACAUCAAAACUUCCUACUCUUCUCUACCCUGAAUUCCGGUGUAUCCCCAGGCAGAAGCAGUGAAUCCUGAGCAGCCAGGCACGGGAUCCAGUUACCAAAUCAGCGUUUUUGCAGAGGCGCCCCUCCCCUGCCUGCCACCGCUCCUGCCCCGUCUCCACUUCUCCACGUGGAUGUUCCCCAAGGCUGCUCCCGAGACCUCUUCUCUCUCCCAGAGACGGCUGCCCUCCAAGGCUCUGAGUACCAUCUGAUGGUCUCAUGGGUCAGAGGUGGCAGGCUUCCUGAUUUGGCUGAGAAGGGCGGGGAUUCCUGGAGGUGUGGCAGGAGAGGACCCCUCCGGAGGUAAGUGGAGCUUCCCGAGUGGGUGGGACCUGCUCAGGCGUAGGAUUUUAUGACUGUGGGGGACGGACCUCCAGAGGGAAGGUGGGGCCUUCCUGGAUGGUGGGUGGGGCUUUCUGAGCGUAAAGUUGAGCUUCCUAAAAGAUAGGUGGGACUUCUUCGAUUACAAUGGGUAGCUUGGGACUUCUGGAAUGUAUUCUCAAAUGGAAUUUGGGCUUUGUGUGCGGGGAAGAGGGAGUUCCUAAGUUGAGUAGGUAAGGCACGGAGUAUCCUGGUUUGGGUUUGAAACAUGAAGCAUUUAAAGUGACAGUGAGUGCUUGUAGUAGGUCUUAAGGUUGCUCGGUGAGUGGGACUUUUUGAGCACGUGUUAUUUAUAUUGGGUAGGUGACUUCCUGAGUGGAAGAUGAGACUUCCUUUAUUGGACAUGGGACUUCUGAAAGCAGACAGAACAUCUUUCUUGGGGCUAGGACUCAUAGGAAGGUAGACCCUCGCCCAUUACCUGUUGAGGUAGAAGGAGAAGACAGGCUUAUCCAGUAGCCCCUGGUCCACCAGUACAUCCAGUGGGGGUCGGACCCCUCCCACGGCCAGAACGGGGAAAGCAAGGCCCAGUAUCCCAUCGAAGCGGGCAAAAGUGAACACCAGGCUGGGCUCCCACAGAGCCUCUCCAAAAAUCACUGAUGCAUUCAUAAUUCCUCCAAUCUACGGAUAGAUUCAAAUGGGGCAGGUUACUUCUUGAAGGACAUAACCUACAUCACCCUGAAAUGUUCCAAACCAAGGCAUGAAU
Long non-coding RNA from Neofelis nebulosa (Clouded leopard), 2227 nucleotides. RefSeq lists it as uncharacterized. NCBI's taxonomy places the organism in Eukaryota, Metazoa, Chordata, Mammalia, Carnivora, Felidae. The transcript has 5 exons. The record is from RefSeq and is a predicted model, not a curated record.